UCCCUAGUAGCUCAGAUGGUAAAGAAUCUGCCUGCAAUGCAGGAGAUCCAGGUUUGAUCCCUGGAUUGGGAA
This 72-nucleotide transfer RNA is filed under the name Bos taurus (domestic cattle). It matches the Rfam family "tRNA". Rfam says of the family: Transfer RNA (tRNA) molecules are approximately 80 nucleotides in length. Their secondary structure includes four short double-helical elements and three loops (D, anti-codon, and T loops). Further hydrogen bonds mediate the characteristic L-shaped molecular structure. tRNAs have two regions of fundamental functional importance: the anti-codon, which is responsible for specific mRNA codon recognition, and the 3' end, to which the tRNAs corresponding amino acid is attached (by aminoacyl-tRNA synthetases). tRNAs cope with the degeneracy of the genetic code in two manners: having more than one tRNA (with a specific anti-codon) for a particular amino acid; and 'wobble' base-pairing, i.e. permitting non-standard base-pairing at the 3rd anti-codon position. The record is from Rfam by way of RNAcentral. Lineage: Eukaryota; Metazoa; Chordata; Mammalia; Artiodactyla; Bovidae. RNAcentral also lists the same sequence under 2 other names.